RNAcentral lists this ribosomal RNA (505 nucleotides) under uncultured bacterium. RNAcentral describes it as "partial 16S ribosomal RNA". It matches the Rfam family "Bacterial small subunit ribosomal RNA", at positions 28 to 507 of the family's 1533-position model. The record is from RNAcentral.
GACGAACGCUGGCGGCGUGCCUAAUACAUGCAAGUAGAACGCACAGUUUAUACCUUAGCUUGCUACACCAUGGACUGUGAGUUGCGAACGGGUUAGUAACGCGUAGGUAACCUGCCUGGUAGCGGGGGAUAACUAUUGCAAACGGUAGCUAAUACCUCAUAAUAUUAAUUAUUGCAUGAUAAUUAAUUGAAAGUUGCAAUUGCACCACUACCAGAUGGACCUGCGUUGUAUUAGCUAGUAGGUGAGGUAACGGCUAAGCUAGGCGACGAUACAUAGCAGCCUGGAGAGGUUGAUCGGCCCAGCUGGGACUGAGACACGACACAGAACACUACGGGCGGCAGCAGGAGGGAACGUUCGGGAAUGGGAGAAAGUCUGAACCAGAAACGCAGAGUGAGUGAAGAAGGUAUCCGGAUCGUAAAGAUCUGUUGUAAGAGAAGAACGGGUGUGAGCGUGGAAAGUUAACACUGUGACGGUACCUUAAAAGAAAGCGACGGCUAACUCCGUG